UAGUCCACGCCGUAAACGAUGAGUGCUAAGUGUUAGAGGGUUUCCGCCCUUUAGUGCUGCAGCAAACGCAUUAAGCACUCCGCCUGGGGAGUACGGCCGCAAGGCUGAAACUCAAAGGAAUUGACGGGGGGCCCGCACAAGCGGUGGAGCAUGUGGUUUAAUUCGAAGCAACGCGAAGAACCUUACCAGGUCUUGACAUCCUCUGACACCUCUGGAGACAGAGCUUUCCCCUUCGGGGGACAGAGUGACAGGUGGUGCAUGGUUGUCGUCAGCUCGUGUCGUGAGAUGUUGGGUUAAGUCCCGCAACGAGCGCAACCCUUGUCCCUAGUUGCCAGCAUUUAGGAUGGGAACUCUAGGGAGACUGCCGGUGACAAACCGGGAGGAAGGUGGGGAUGGACGUCAAGUCAUCAUGGGCCCUUAUGGGGUAGGGGCUACACACGUGCUACAAUGGUCGGUACAGAGGGUUGCCAAGCCGCGAGGUGGAGCUAAUCUCAU
RNAcentral lists this ribosomal RNA (495 nucleotides) under uncultured bacterium. Its description in RNAcentral is "bacterial SSU rRNA". It matches the Rfam family "Bacterial small subunit ribosomal RNA", at positions 791 to 1277 of the family's 1533-position model. The record is from RNAcentral.